This 273-nucleotide ribosomal RNA is filed under the name uncultured bacterium. RNAcentral describes it as "partial 16S ribosomal RNA". It matches the Rfam family "Bacterial small subunit ribosomal RNA", at positions 523 to 796 of the family's 1533-position model. The record is from RNAcentral.
AUACGUAUGUCGCAAGCGUUAUCCGGAAUUAUUGGGCGUAAAGCGAGUCUAGGCGGCUUGUUAAGUCAGAUGUGAAAAUGCGGGGCUCAACUCCGUAUUGCGUUUGAAACUGGCAGGCUAGAGUACUGGAGAGGUGGGCGGAACUACAAGUGUAGAGGUGAAAUUCGUAGAUAUUCGUAGGAAUGCCGAUAGUGAAGACAGCUCACUGGACAGAUACUGACGCUAAAGCUCGAAAGCGUGGGGAGCGAACAGGAUUAGAAACCCUAGUAGUCC